Non-coding RNA from Nicotiana attenuata, 117 nucleotides. NCBI's taxonomy places the organism in Eukaryota, Viridiplantae, Streptophyta, Magnoliopsida, Solanales, Solanaceae. The record is from Rfam.
CGAAAUUCAUACAUGCACUUAUGCACCAGAUCUUAUCAAAACUCCAAAGUAAAGUGUGAUUUGGUUAGAGUGGUACCGGGAUAAGAGAUCCUCUGGAAAGUCCUCGUGUUGUAUCCC